CCUUUCGGCAGGGACGAAGCGAAAGUGACGGUACCUGCAGAAGAAGCGCCGGCUAACUACGUGCCAGCAGCCGCGGUAACACGUAGGGCGCAAGCGUUGUCCGGAAUCAUUGGGCGUAAAGAGCUCGUAGGCGGUCUGUUGCGUCCGCUGUGAAAACUCGGGGCUUAACCCCGAGCUUGCAGUGGAUACGGGCAGACUAGAGGUAGGUAGGGGAGAAUGGAAUUCCCGGUGUAGCGGUGAAAUGCGCAGAUAUCGGGAGGAACACCGGUGGCGAAGGCGGUUCUCUGGGCCUUACCUGACGCUGAGGAGCGAAAGCGUGGGGAGCGAACAGGAUUAGAUACCCUGGUAGUCCACGCCGUAAACGUUGGGCGCUAGGUGUGGGGUCCUUCCACGGACUCCGUGCCGCAGCUAACGCAUUGAGCGCCCCGCCUGGGGAGUACGGC
Molecule: ribosomal RNA, 443 nt
Filed under: uncultured bacterium
Lineage: Bacteria
Description: bacterial SSU rRNA
Rfam family: Bacterial small subunit ribosomal RNA
Source: RNAcentral